CACAUCGGAUCUGUGGUACCUUACUGUCCAGACACAGGAGCCUGAGAAUGAAUCAGAAGAUUCUACUCCUUCCACUUGGGCUGGCUGGAUAGGCCUUCACAGCUUACCCAGAACUUUAUCUUCAGUGGUGUAUUUGCGUCAUGACCAAGGUGCUCGGGCCCUGUGGUAUUUCCUCUGACAGUGAGGAAUGUGGUGCCAGAAUGUGAUUCCCUCUUGGCUACCACAAUACCUGCUGCCUGGUGCUACCCUAAAAACAAGACACACAGCAAAUGUCUGUUAUCUACACGAGCGGCUCAUUGAGGUCGUUGGCCAUUUUUAAGUAAUCCUUGCAAUCCAGAAUGUACUAUUAUGGGUCAGCACAUAGUAAUGAGCAUUUCAAGGAAAAACUUAUGGAAGGACCACAAAGGACGAAUGAAUGUGACUCAGUGACUAUGAUCUGGUCUCCUAGUGAGUUAAUGGUGGUCCCCAACUUACAGCCUGGCACCAGUUCAAUCAUUUCACACUGGAUCGUGUGUGUUGUGUUGACCACAUUUGAACAUCAGAGUGCACUUUGCUGAAUGCGGGUAGGAAGUCUUCAGAAUAGUCUCACUAUUCAUCUGGCUGUCACAACACGUAAGCUCCUGGAAAAGAUCCUGAUGAAUCAAAGCUGGAUUGUUUUAGGAAUCCAGUUUCAGACCUUCCCCGAACCAAGAUAUAUUCCCCAUCAACCUUGAAGAAGCAAGUAGCCAUCAGUUCCACAGCUGCAGAGAGAUGGAUUUUACCAACAACCAUUAAACUUGGAAAAGGACCUUGGACCUCAGACAAGACUGUAGUCCUGACUGACCCUGCCUGCAAUCUUGGGAGAUCCUGAGCAGAAGACCCAGCUAAGUAAGUUGUGUCUAGACUUCUGAUCUAUAGCAAUUAUGAAAUGAUAAAUGGGUGUUGUUUUAUACCAGUAAGUUUGUGGUAAUUUGUUACCCCCCCCCCAAGAGACAGCUAAUAUACCUCUACUUUUGGUCUCUUGGAUACUUGCUUUUGGAACCUAGCUGCUGUGAUGUGAGAAGCCCAGGUCAUAUAGAAAGCCCUACAAUG
Leopardus geoffroyi (Geoffroy's cat) is the source of this 1071-nucleotide long non-coding RNA. RefSeq lists it as uncharacterized. NCBI's taxonomy places the organism in Eukaryota, Metazoa, Chordata, Mammalia, Carnivora, Felidae. The transcript is spliced from 3 exons. The record is from RefSeq and is a predicted model, not a curated record.